Molecule: ribosomal RNA, 170 nt
Filed under: uncultured rumen bacterium
Lineage: Bacteria
Description: partial 16S ribosomal RNA
Rfam family: Bacterial small subunit ribosomal RNA
Source: RNAcentral
UACGGGAGGCAGCAGUGAGGAAUAUUGCGCAAUGGAGGAAACUCUGACGCAGCGACGCCGCGUGAAGGAAGACGGUCUUCGGAUUGUAAACUUCUGUCUUCAGGGAAGAAAAAAAUGACGGUACCUGGGGAGGAAGCCCCGGCUAACUACGUGCCAGCAGCCGCGGUAAU